RNAcentral lists this ribosomal RNA (557 nucleotides) under uncultured Methylobacterium sp. Its description in RNAcentral is "bacterial SSU rRNA". It matches the Rfam family "Bacterial small subunit ribosomal RNA", at positions 102 to 694 of the family's 1533-position model. Lineage: Bacteria; Pseudomonadati; Pseudomonadota; Alphaproteobacteria; Hyphomicrobiales; Methylobacteriaceae. The record is from RNAcentral.
ACGGGUGAGUAACACGUGGGAACGUACCCUUUGGUUCGGAAUAACGCUGGGAAACUAGCGCUAAUACCGGAUACGCCCUUUUGGGGAAAGGCUUGCUGCCGAAGGAUCGGCCCGCGUCUGAUUAGCUAGUUGGUGGGGUAAUGGCCUACCAAGGCGACGAUCAGUAGCUGGUCUGAGAGGAUGAUCAGCCACACUGGGACUGAGACACGGCCCAGACUCCUACGGGAGGCAGCAGUGGGGAAUAUUGGACAAUGGGCGCAAGCCUGAUCCAGCCAUGCCGCGUGAGUGAUGAAGGCCUUAGGGUUGUAAAGCUCUUUUGUCCGGGACGAUGAUGACGGUACCGGAAGAAUAAGCCCCGGCUAACUUCGUGCCAGCAGCCGCGGUAAUACGAAGGGGGCUAGCGUUGCUCGGAAUCACUGGGCGUAAAGGGCGCGUAGGCGGCCAUUCAAGUCGGGGGUAAAAGCCUGUGGCUCAACCACAGAAUUGCCUUCGAUACUGUUUGGCUUGAGUUUGGUAGAGGUUGGUGGAACUGCGAGUGUAGAGGUGAAAUUCGUAGA